GGCAGCCGCCGCGGGAACACCGGCGGCCCGAGUGGUGAUCGUGAUUAUUGGGUCUAAAGGGUCCGUAGCCGGUUUGGUCAGUCCUCCGGGAAAUCUGAUAGCUCAACUAUUAGGCUUUCGGGGGAUACUGCCAGACUUGGAACCGGGAGAGGUAAGAGGUACUACAGGGGUAGGAGUGAAAUCUUGUAAUCCCUGUGGGACCACCUGUGGCGAAGGCGUCUUACCAGAACGGGUUCGACGGUGAGGGACGAAAGCUGGGGGGCACGAACCGGAUUAGAUACCCGGGUAGUCCCAGCCGUAAACGAUGCUCGCUAGGUGUCAGGCAUGGCGCGACCGUGUCUGGUGCCGCAGGGAAGCCGUGAAGCGAGCCACCUGGGAAGUACGGCCGCAAGGCUGAAACUUAAAGGAAUUGGCGGGGGAGCACAACAACGGGUGGAGCCCUGCGGUUUAAUUGGACUCAACGCCGGACAACUCACCGGGGGCGACAGCAAUAUGUAGGCCAAGCUGAAGACUUUGCCUGGAUCGCUGAGAAGAGGUGCAUGG
RNAcentral lists this ribosomal RNA (543 nucleotides) under uncultured archaeon. Its description in RNAcentral is "bacterial SSU rRNA". It matches the Rfam family "Archaeal small subunit ribosomal RNA", at positions 457 to 997 of the family's 1478-position model. The record is from RNAcentral.